RNAcentral lists this non-coding RNA (182 nucleotides) under Verrucomicrobiota bacterium. Its description in RNAcentral is "Verrucomicrobia bacterium (freshwater metagenome) 6S RNA". It matches the Rfam family "6S / SsrS RNA". From Rfam's summary of the family: E. coli 6S RNA was the first non coding RNA to be sequenced, but its function was unknown until recently. It consists of 184 nucleotides that fold into an extended hairpin structure with a large single-stranded internal bulge. The 6S RNA specifically associates with RNA polymerase holoenzyme containing the sigma70 specificity factor. Lineage: Bacteria; Pseudomonadati; Verrucomicrobiota. The record is from RNAcentral.
UUUGCCCUGCGGUGUUCGUGAUUCCGAAACAAAGUCCUUGAACCGUAAGUAUCCAUUACGGAGCCCUAAAGUUCACGGCUGCAGACAGGCCUUCACUGGAAGUCUCAAGCCAUGGAUUCGGCUCCACCUGUUUCACCAGGCAGUUCAAAGGAACUGUUGCACACGGCACAGGCGGGGCUCUU